RNAcentral lists this ribosomal RNA (557 nucleotides) under uncultured bacterium. RNAcentral's name for it is "bacterial SSU rRNA". It matches the Rfam family "Bacterial small subunit ribosomal RNA", at positions 102 to 694 of the family's 1533-position model. The record is from RNAcentral.
ACGGGUGAGUAACGCGUGGGAAUCUACCCAUCUCUACGGAAUAACGCAUGGAAACGUGUGCUAAUACCGUAUACGUCCUUCGGGAGAAAGAUUUAUCGGAGAUGGAUGAGCCCGCGUUGGAUUAGCUAGUUGGUGGGGUAAAGGCCUACCAAGGCGACGAUCCAUAGCUGGUCUGAGAGGAUGAUCAGCCACACUGGGACUGAGACACGGCCCAGACUCCUACGGGAGGCAGCAGUGGGGAAUAUUGGACAAUGGGCGCAAGCCUGAUCCAGCCAUGCCGCGUGAGUGAUGAAGGCCCUAGGGUUGUAAAGCUCAUUCACCGGUGAAGAUAAUGACGGUAACCGGAGAAGAAGCCCCGGCUAACUUCGUGCCAGCAGCCGCGGUAAUACGAAGGGGGCUAGCGUUGUUCGGAUUUACUGGGCGUAAAGCGCACGUAGGCGGACUAUUAAGUCAGGGGUGAAAUCCCGGGGCUCAACCCCGGAACUGCCUUUGAUACUGGUAGUCUUGAGUUCGAGAGAGGUGAGUGGAAUUCCGAGUGUAGAGGUGAAAUUCGUAGA